RNAcentral lists this ribosomal RNA (730 nucleotides) under uncultured bacterium. RNAcentral's name for it is "bacterial SSU rRNA". It matches the Rfam family "Bacterial small subunit ribosomal RNA", at positions 69 to 783 of the family's 1533-position model. The record is from RNAcentral.
UGAUUAGAAGCUUGCUUCUAUGACGUUAGCGGCGGACGGGUGAGUAACACGUGGGCAACCUGCCUGUAAGACUGGGAUAACUCCGGGAAACCGGAGCUAAUACCAGAUAACAUUUUCUCUUGCAUAAGAGAAAAUUGAAAGAUGGUUUCGGCUAUCACUUACAGAUGGGCCCGCGGUGCAUUAGCUAGUUGGUGAGGUAACGGCUCACCAAGGCAACGAUGCAUAGCCGACCUGAGAGGGUGAUCGGCCACACUGGGACUGAGACACGGCCCAGACUCCUACGGGAGGCAGCAGUAGGGAAUCUUCCGCAAUGGACGAAAGUCUGACGGAGCAACGCCGCGUGAGUGAUGAAGGCUUUCGGGUCGUAAAACUCUGUUGUUAGGGAAGAACAAGUACAAGAGUAACUGCUUGUACCUUGACGGUACCUAACCAGAAAGCCACGGCUAACUACGUGCCAGCAGCCGCGGUAAUACGUAGGUGGCAAGCGUUAUCCGGAAUUAUUGGGCGUAAAGCGCGCGCAGGCGGUUUCUUAAGUCUGAUGUGAAAGCCCACGGCUCAACCGUGGAGGGUCAUUGGAAACUGGGGAACCUGAGUGCAGAAGAGAAAAGCGGAAUUCCACGUGUAGCGGUGAAAUGCGUAGAGAUGUGGAGGAACACCAGUGGCGAAGGCGGCUUUUUGGUCUGUAACUGACGCUGAGGCGCGAAAGCGUGGGGAGCAAACAGGAUUAGAU